Molecule: ribosomal RNA, 279 nt
Filed under: uncultured bacterium
Lineage: Bacteria
Description: partial 16S ribosomal RNA
Rfam family: Bacterial small subunit ribosomal RNA
Source: RNAcentral
UGCCAGCAGCCGCGGUAAUACGGAGACCUCAAGCGUUACUCGGAUUCACUGGGCGUAAAGGGUGCGCAGGCUGUUAGGUAUGUCAGGUGUGAAAUCCCGGGGCUCAACUCCGGAACUGCGCCUGAAACUACCUAACUAGAGACUCGGAGAGGUAAGCAGAAUUCUAGGUGUAGCGGUGAAAUGCGUAGAUAUCUAGAGGAAUACCAAUGGCGAAGGCAGCUUACUGGACGAGAUCUGACGCUCAUGCACGAAAGCGUGGGGAGCGAAAGGGAUUAGAUA